This is a long non-coding RNA of Carassius auratus (goldfish), 687 nucleotides long. RefSeq lists it as uncharacterized. The record is from RefSeq and is a predicted model, not a curated record. The transcript has 4 exons. Lineage: Eukaryota; Metazoa; Chordata; Actinopteri; Cypriniformes; Cyprinidae.
CUGGAUUACAAAAAUUACAAGAAAAACACAUCUGCAGUGGAAAUUCAGUUCCAGUUAUCAGUUAAAGAUGACAGUGGAGUUCAACACAAGUAUGAUUUGUAUGCAGUAGUGAAACAUACAGGAUCCUUUCAUAGUGGACAUUACUAUGCAGUCAUCAAGUCGUUUGAGGAUCAUGAGUGGUAUGAGUUAAAUGACAGCUUUGUGCACAAGGCAACCAUUUUAAAAGACCCCUUCCAGUGUAAGGAGGCCUUCCUUCUUCUGUACAAAAAACAUUCAAAUGAAUCAGCUGUGAAUUCCCAACAAAUGUGAUGAUCUAGAUGGUCCUCAAUGCCAACCGAAUCGUUCUGAAUCUAUAAAACAAAAUGUGUCAAAAGUUGACAGCGGCAGUCGAUCAAGAAAUGAGAUUCAAACAUGGACCUCUAAAUCUGAUCCUGAUCCUCAACCUGCAGAAAAUGUUCCUCAUGAUCCAGCUAAUUGAUCAAAAAACACGACGUAUGAUCCUGACUCAACAGCAAACACCCAACCAACACCAUUUAAUGAAUCUAGACAUGUAACACAACCUGUGACAGAGGAGAAUAUAAAGAAAAAAAUCAAUGACCAUCAAUUCACUUUUAUUUGUAUAGCAUUUUUCAUGAUGCACAUAUUGGCAAAAUAGCUUCACAGAAAAUUAAAGUUUCUACAAUAUAU